Molecule: signal recognition particle RNA, 98 nt
Filed under: Sulfurospirillum tamanense
Lineage: Bacteria; Pseudomonadati; Campylobacterota; Epsilonproteobacteria; Campylobacterales; Sulfurospirillaceae
Description: signal recognition particle sRNA small type
Rfam family: Bacterial small signal recognition particle RNA
About the family: The signal recognition particle (SRP) is a universally conserved ribonucleoprotein involved in the co-translational targeting of proteins to membranes. Archaeal SRP consists of a 7S RNA and homologues of the eukaryotic SRP19 and SRP54 proteins.
Source: RNAcentral
UCUUUAGACCUGUGCAAUAUGUUUUAAGAAUAACGCUUCAGGGUGGGAACACAGCAGAGCACUCUUUUAAUGUAGGUGCCGCAGGUAUCUGAAGGGGG